AACGAACGCUGGCGGCAUGCCUAACACAUGCAAGUCGAACGAGACCUUCGGGUCUAGUGGCGCACGGGUGCGUAACGCGUGGGAACCUGCCCUUAGGUUCGGAAUAACUCCCCGAAAGGGGUGCUAAUACUGGAUAAUGUCUUCGGACCAAAGAUUUAUCGCCUUUGGAUGGGCCCGCGUUGGAUUAGCUAGUUGGUAGGGUAAAAGCCUACCAAGGCGACGAUCCAUAGCUGGUCUGAGAGGAUGAUCAGCCACACUGGGACUGAGACACGGCCCAGACUCCUACGGGAGGCAGCAGUGGGGAAUAUUGGACAAUGGGCGAAAGCCUGAUCCAGCAAUGCCGCGUGAGUGAUGAAGGCCUUAGGGUUGUAAAGUUCUUUUACCCGGGAUGAUAAUGACAGUACCGGGAGAAUAAGCUCCGGCUAACUCCGUG
Molecule: ribosomal RNA, 433 nt
Filed under: uncultured bacterium
Lineage: Bacteria
Description: partial 16S ribosomal RNA
Rfam family: Bacterial small subunit ribosomal RNA
Source: RNAcentral